UACGUAGGGUGCUAGCGUUAUUCGGAUUUACUGGGCGUAAAGGGUGCGCAGGCGGUUUUUCAAGUCGGAGGUUAAAGGCUACGGCUCAACCGUAAUAAGCCGCCGAAACUGGAAGACUUGAGUGCAGGAGAGGAAAGUGGAAUUCUCAGUGUAGCGGUGAAAUGCGUAGAUAUUGAGAAGAACACCAGUGGCGAAGGCGGCUUUCUGGACUGUGACUGACACUGAGGCACGAAAGCGUGGGUAGCAAACAGG
This 252-nucleotide ribosomal RNA is filed under the name uncultured bacterium. RNAcentral describes it as "partial 16S ribosomal RNA". It matches the Rfam family "Bacterial small subunit ribosomal RNA", at positions 524 to 776 of the family's 1533-position model. The record is from RNAcentral.